Molecule: transfer RNA, 33 nt
Filed under: Gambelia wislizenii (Longnose leopard lizard)
Lineage: Eukaryota; Metazoa; Chordata; Lepidosauria; Squamata; Crotaphytidae
Description: partial tRNA-Met
Source: RNAcentral
CCGAAAAUGUUGGUUUAAACCCCUCCUCUAYUA